This 66-nucleotide transfer RNA is filed under the name Alphitobius diaperinus (lesser mealworm). RNAcentral's name for it is "tRNA-Ala". Lineage: Eukaryota; Metazoa; Arthropoda; Insecta; Coleoptera; Tenebrionidae. The record is from RNAcentral.
AGGAUAAUAGUUAAUAAUAACAUUUAAUUUGCAAUUAAAAAUAAUCGGCUUAGCCGAUUUAUCUUA